UACGUAGGGAGCAAGCGUUGUCCGGAUUUAUUGGGCGUAAAGAGAUCGUAGGCGGCUUAGAAAGUCAGGUGUGAAACCUCCAGGCUCAACCUGGAGACGCCACUUGAUACUUCUAUGGCUUGAGUUCGGUAGGGGAUCACGGAAUUCCUGGUGUAGCGGUGAAAUGCGCAGAUAUCAGGAGGAACACCGAUGGCGAAGGCAGUGAUCUGGGCCGAUACUGACGCUGAGGAGCGAAAGCGUGGGGAGCGAACAGG
Molecule: ribosomal RNA, 254 nt
Filed under: uncultured bacterium
Lineage: Bacteria
Description: partial 16S ribosomal RNA
Rfam family: Bacterial small subunit ribosomal RNA
Source: RNAcentral